AGAGUUUGAUCAUGGCUCAGGAUGAACGCUAGCGGCAGGCUUAAUACAUGCAAGUCAAGGGGGUAGCAAUACAACCGGCGCACGGGUGAGUAACGCGUACACAACAUACCAUAUACUGGGGUAUAGCUUUGGGAAACUGAAGGUAAUCCCCCAUAACAUUGCGAGAGGGCAUCUGAUUGCAAUUAAAGUUUCGGCGGUAUAUGAUUGGUGUGCGUUUGAUUAGCUAGUUGGUAGGGUAACGGCCUACCAAGGCGACGAUCAAUAGCUGGCGUGAGAGCGCGACCAGCCACACUGGAACUGAGACACGGUCCAGACUCCUACGGGGAGGCAGCAGUAGGGAAUAUUGGACAAUGGAGGAAACUCUGAUCCAGCCAUGCCGCGUGAUAGAUGAAGGCCCUCUGGGUUGUAAAUAUCUUUUAUCUGGGAAGAAACUCCUCUAUUCUUAGAGGCCUGACGGUACCAGAGGAAUAAGCACCGGCUAACUCCGUG
Molecule: ribosomal RNA, 489 nt
Filed under: uncultured bacterium
Lineage: Bacteria
Description: bacterial SSU rRNA
Rfam family: Bacterial small subunit ribosomal RNA
Source: RNAcentral